This is a non-coding RNA of Cinara cedri, 798 nucleotides long. NCBI's taxonomy places the organism in Eukaryota, Metazoa, Arthropoda, Insecta, Hemiptera, Aphididae. The record is from the annotation of a GenBank genome assembly.
AUAUACCUACCUAUGUACUUAAUGCGCAUUAGAAAUGAUUCGCCGUUCUAAUUAUACACGCUUAUGAAUACAUAUAUGCGACGGCAGUUCGAUUCGACAGCAUUAGUCGCAAAAGUAUGUAAGUAAGUACCCGUUUUCAAAUCACUUCAAAUCAUUUCAUUUCAGACGGGAGACUAUAAUGCACGUAUACAAUGUAAUUAUCGUAAAAGACGAAAUUGAUUAAUUUCGAGAUUACUGAAUAACGAAUAGACGCGUAUAUUUUCAAUCAAACUCUACGACCGAUAAAAAAUCAUUCGGUUUAUACUUGCGCAUUAUUUUCAUUAAUAGUGUCUCGUUUCGUAAAUCAACAUCAUAAUAUAAUAUUUGACCCCCAUCGCCCUUGUUAUCGUACCGAUCGUAUGUUUACAUUAUACUCUUAAGCUCUGCACCGUCCGUUUUUUUUUUUUUUCAAAUACCGGAUUGAACCGAGGUAUUAAGACAUUAAGAUUCGGACCGAACUGAUAAAUAAGUAAUGGCACCAGAUCGUUUUUUACUCAUAACUAAAAAAUACCGAGACCGCGUUUAAAUAUUUUAUAAUAAAUGCAGUAGCGCCACCAGAAUUUAUCAAAGGGGGAGAGGUCCAAAAUAUAAUAAACAAUUUCAUUGCACGACAAAAUAUAAAUUUGUUAGUUGUGUGUAGGUAUACCAAAUGAUUAAUGCAAUUCUUAUAAUGUUUCCAAAUUAACUUUUUUUUUUAAACAUUUAUACGGUCCAAAAGAGGGGGAUCUGGAUCAGGAGUGCAUCCAUUUGGUUAGGUCA